Molecule: long non-coding RNA, 533 nt
Filed under: Monodelphis domestica (gray short-tailed opossum)
Lineage: Eukaryota; Metazoa; Chordata; Mammalia; Didelphimorphia; Didelphidae
Description: lncRNA (ENSMODG00000044421.1)
Source: RNAcentral
AGAGAGAAUUCUUUUAUUUUAUUGUUAUAUUUAAAAAAAUAAUUGGUUGAUUCCUUUUAACUAAUUUAUUAUAUCUUUUUCUUUUCUUCUCUUAUUUUAGGAGUGGGUGAGACUGGAUGGAUGCUGAAUUCCCUUUUGACUCUGAAACUCUGCACAUCUGUGAUCCUAUUUGUACCUGGAAGGAACAUUAGUGGCCCCUGAGUCCAUUACUUUUAUUUCAUAGAUGAGGAAACUGAGAUGCAGAAGAGCUGAAAUGACUUAUUCAAGGAUACAUCAGGAGCACGUGGCAGGGCUGGAAUGAUUUGUCCUGGGAUCAUAGAGAACUAAAUCCUCAUCACAAACUAAGCAUGUGACACCUUGCGUUGUAUUCAUUUCCGAGCAUGUCUGACCUCACUACCACACCAGAACUUCCAGAUGAUGCCUUACCUAAGCUACGUCUUUGCCAGUACAGGAGGCAGUACAAUGCUCUGCACCACUAGAAAAAAGUGCUUUCCCCUCGGAGGACUGGCUGCAAGAUGCUGAGCACGUGGACA